RNAcentral lists this ribosomal RNA (253 nucleotides) under uncultured bacterium. RNAcentral describes it as "partial 16S ribosomal RNA". It matches the Rfam family "Bacterial small subunit ribosomal RNA", at positions 524 to 776 of the family's 1533-position model. The record is from RNAcentral.
UACGUAGGCAGCAAGCGUUGUCCGGAAUUAUUGGGCGUAAAGAGCUCGUAGGCGGUUUGUCGCGUCUGCUGUGAAAACUCGGGGCUUAACUCCGGGCCUGCAGUGGGUACGGGCAGACUAGAGUGCGGUAGGGGAGACUGGAAUUCCUGGUGUAGCGGUGAAAUGCGCAGAUAUCAGGAGGAACACCGGUGGCGAAGGCGGGUCUCUGGGCCGUAACUGACGCUGAGGAGCGAAAGCGUGGGGAGCGAACAGG